This 70-nucleotide transfer RNA is filed under the name Podarcis lilfordi (Lilford's wall lizard). RNAcentral describes it as "tRNA.Ile". The stretch from base 4 to 62 matches the Rfam family "tRNA", at positions 8 to 63 of the family's 71-position model. Rfam says of the family: Transfer RNA (tRNA) molecules are approximately 80 nucleotides in length. Their secondary structure includes four short double-helical elements and three loops (D, anti-codon, and T loops). The record is from RNAcentral. Lineage: Eukaryota; Metazoa; Chordata; Lepidosauria; Squamata; Lacertidae.
GGAUAGCUCAGUUGGUUUGAGCUUGGUACUGAUAAUACCAAGGUUGCAGGUUUGAUCCCCGUAUGGGACA